CCCGCCGGGAGCGCGGGGCCAGCCGGGGUUCGUAGUCCCCGCCGGCCGCUGUCGACGAGGGGCGCGGCCGCGCCGAGGCACUGCGCUACGUUGCGCGGCGUGCAGCGGGACGAGCGUAUAAGGGGCUGGCGGCGAGCGCGGCUCAGCCAGUCCGUCCGUCCGCCUGCCCGUCCGUCAGAACAAUGCCAUCGCCGCCAGAGCCGGGCAGCCGCGGCUGAGGGGCGGCGGAGCAGCCGGGCGGGACGCGCUCCUCGAGCAGCGCCGCUCCGAGCGGGGGAGCCGCCGCCAGCAUGUGGAUCCCCACGGAGCACGAGAAGUACGGCGUGGUAAUAGCUGGUUUUCGAGGAACAGUCCCACAUGGCCUCUCACUGGAGAUUGGAGACACAGUUCAGAUACUGGAGAAGUGCGAUGGAUGGUACAGAGGAUUUGCCUUAAAAAACCCAAAUGUUAAGGUAAAGAUCAAUUACAGUUUUGCACUUUGGCAAAAAUGUGUAUUUACUUCUUAAAAAGUUUAUAGUCUCCAUAUAAGUAGAUUAUAUUUACCCUUAAAAGAAAACUGGAUCUUAGUGAUAAGUAUAUUAUUGGUACUGCAUGAAUUAGAUUUGGACAAUGAUUACACUUCUCAAAGGCUCUUGUGCAUUUGGAUGACUUUACAAAUCAAAGGCUCUGGCAAAUUUUCUUUUAAUCUGAUUUUUAGAAGCUAAGUUAUAGGGAAAAGUCUACGGAGAAUGGAAACUGUAAACAAUGUUAGAAAAGUUAAUUAGACUGUGCCUAUUUUCUUGAUGGUAUAUAUUAGUGCACAGUCGCCAUUGGAGAUGUAUAUGGAGUAUCAGUUGAAAAAAAUUUGUCUGUUUCCAUGUAAAAUACAUUUUUCUUUUUUUUCCUUGUUGUGUAGUCUUUUAUUUCCAUGGGAGUGUAGCUGACAGACUUCACUGUUUGGUUGGUUUUUGUUGCGUUCAGACAUGAAAUAUUAUGAUAUUCAUGCACUUAUUUUUUUCAUCAUUUGUUCAUCUUGAAUGAGUUUUAGAUUUUCCUAUUUUAGCUGUCUUUCUGUUUUCUUACUGUCCUGUUGACUGUCAGUAUAAAGUGUUUGUUUUUCAUAUGGGAAACCAUUUCAAGACUUCUUUUCCUUCAACACAAUACUGAAAUCACUUGUUUUUCCUUUAACUCACGUUGUCAGCUUAUCUCCUUUUUCUUUUUUUUUUCCCCUUUCCUUCUUCAUUUCCAAGCUUCUUCAGCUGCAAAGUAGGGCAUAUAAUAUAUAAAUUUCAGAAGUUUCUGGGGCUCCUAUCAUACAAGUCACUGGUUUCUUGUCCUUAAGCUUUCAGUCUCUGCUCACAUAAAUUUGCUUUGCUUUAUGUGGAGGGUCAGUGUGAGAAAUAAAUCUAGCCGGUGUCUAAUCUGACAUUUAUUACUUUGACCUCACUGAUAAAUAUUACAAUUUGAUUUAUAAGACAUGAGCAGUUGGUAUUUAUCGCAUCUUCAGUGUCUUUUGUUGCAGUUCUCACCACAUGUUUGCUGUCACAGUUUCUUUGUGGUCUGUCAAAUGUGUUGAUAGAAGUUAUGAAUAGGUUUUCUAAACAUGACUUGAUGUGUGAAGGAACGAGACAGAUAUUUUCUACUUUCAUAGAAAAAAGGAAGGGAAACAGUUUUCUGAACUGGAUUUUUGAAGGGAGCCUCUCCAAAAGUAAAAUAGGAACACCUUGUAAGUCAGCUUAUAAUUGGUAUUGCUCUGUCAAGGUUCUCCUGUUGUUAUUCCAUCAGCUUAGAUGCUCAAAGAAAUUAUCUGUGGCAGCUGGUCUGCAGUGCCCCGUGUAUGCACCAUCCUGAUUUCUGGCACAUUGUUACAAAUGCCAAAGCUACACGUCUUACUGUCCUUGGGAGAUGCUCUCCUGAACUACUUCACGCUACUGAGGAGAAGGAGCAUUCUCAAGGGCAGCUGAUGUUACACAGUAGAUGCCUUUUUUUUCAAAGGUCUAACAAUGUUUUCUGUUAAAAGAAAAUGGGGCACCUUCACAGUGGAAAGCUGUAUGUAGCAGGGCUUAUAAUAAGGAAGGGCACACUUACAUUUUCCUUCACUGAAUUAUGUAGCUAGCGGUAGUGUAUUAUGUUCUAAGCCAGUAUAUAGAAUCUGAAUUGCUUAAUUUUGCUUACCAUUAUGACUAAUGAAGGUUAGUGUGGUGCAAGUGCUGUGACACUGUUAUCCAUGCAAAAGAACAGUGAAGAAUGCUUGGCUAACUAGAAAGGACCACUCCUGUCUGAACACUGAGGCUCUUUGGUGUGCAUCUACUGCACCUUUCAGGUUUGCUGCAUGGCACAGUAACUCAUAAAUAAAGUUUUAUUUCUUAAUUUAUCUUUAUUUAUUUUUAUUGGAAUUCAUUAAUUUCAUUUAUUUUGCAAAUCUGUACUGAAGAGAUCUUGUUAAGAUCGUGUUGGUAAAAAUUUCUCAGUGGGAAUAUUAAUAAAUUAUUUAGGAUAAAUGCGCUGUCAAGCAAUCUUAUACAUGCUUUACAACUUUAUCUUCUAAUUUUCUUAAAUAUUGAAAGACUAAAACUCUACUAAAGACAUUUUUGUUUCCUUUAGAUCUGCACUGAGUAUAUAUUGAAUUCUUUUUUGUGUAUGCUUGUUGGUAAUUAUUUGGAGGACUUUUAAUUCAGCAUGCAUUUGCAUAUAAAAUGCUGCUUUAAGAUUAUUCUCCAAACUCACUAAAGGGAAUUUUUUUCAUUGUUUUUACCUAACCUAUUCUGUUUUUCAGGGUAUCUUUCCAUCCAACUACAUUCACUUGAAAAAUGCAUGCGUUAAGAACAAAGGACAAUUUGAAAUGGUUAUUCCAACAGAAGACUCUGUUAUUACAGAGAUGACAUCAACUUUAAGAGACUGGGGAACGAUGUGGAAACAACUCUAUGUGAGAAAUGAGGGCGAUCUCUUUCACCGACUGUGGCAUAUAAUGAAUGAAAUCCUAGACCUGCGAAGGCAAGUCCUGGUUGGCCACCUCACCCAUGAUCGAAUGAAGGAUGUGAAGCGACACAUCACUGCUCGUCUGGACUGGGGCAAUGAGUGAGUAGAAGAAAACAGUGUAAUCUCAUUAUAAUACCAGUUUUAGGCUCAGUAUAGAAUGUUGAAAUAAGGAACAAAUUUCUGACAGAUGUCACUUUUCUUUAUGGAUUUUUUUUCUUCAUUAUUUUUCUAUCCACUACGUUUUAGCAGUAAAAAAUGACUUACAGCUUUUCCUUUCCUUUUUCCUUCCACUAAGGGAACAUACUUGCUUCAAUUUAUUUUACAGAGCACUGGUACAACCUGCAAGAGAACUGCAGUUACUAUUCUGGAAUACUGGAUUUCUGCAGUUUCCUUUUAAGUCUUUUAAAAACAUAUCUGGCCAGAUUCUUAUGCAGCAUAAUUAUAUUGGCUGACACUACUUAAUCUUCUUGAUCUGUGUUGUACAAUUCAGUUUCUUCUUAAGCAUCUCUAGUAUUAUCUUGAUACUGUUCUAUGCAUCAUUCUUUUAUUUGAGUGACAAAAAUUGAUUACCCCAUUUAUAUUCUCUUAAUUUUUUUUUUCAAAGCAAGAGAUUUUCAUUCUUUUGUCUUAAACCCGCGCUACUUCAAUUAAUAUCUCUUCAGUAUUAAUAAAUGCCUAACAGUAUGAAGACUUGUGGGGGAUAGAUAAUUGUUAGCAUAAUGCAUGAUGAUGAAAAUGGUUUCUAAAUCAUUUUCUGAAUACAGCUUUCACAGAUCUUGUUACUAUCUUGCAUAGUUUGAAAGGCCAAUGAGCUAAUCUCUGCUCCAGAUACCUCACCCAUGAGAAUAAUAAGCCCAAUAGACUACUCUUAACUCCAGUAUUACUGGUGCAAACAACAGCACAGAUUAACAACACAGUGAUAUUUACAAUGACAGUUAAAACCAGCAUGAGUCUGUGCUCUUGUAGCAAUGAGGCAUCAGAAUCUUGUCAUUCUCUUGCAAAGAAGUGUGUGCUUGGUAUGGUUGGGCAGCUGAGUAGUAUGGAAAACGCAAAAAUGAAAUGCGCUGCUGUUGAUUACAUUGGCAUGCAUGCCUUGCAUUUGGUACUGAUUUUGCUUUGAGUUUGGAAAUCUGAGACCAGAUGAAAUAGGCUCCACAGACAGUAAAUUUUGCUGCUGUGAUGUACAGCGUGCUUUGCAGUGCUUCCUCCAUAGUAACACUGUGUUGCUACAUCUGUAGCCCUUUGCUUACAUGUGUUGUAUUUGUCUCAGUGCAGCACUCCUGGCUACUUUGCUAGGUCCUUGGGAAUGAAAGGGCAAGUGUAAGAUAGGUGUGUGCAUCAGGAGUGAUAGGAGCAUCCCUUUUCCCUCACAGCACACUACCCUGAGGCAGUAGCAGUAGUAAAAAUGGUGUUUUAUGUGGUCAUAAAGAUAACAAAAACACUUGAUUUCUUUGAUCGUCAAGGAGGUGACUGAGUCAAUGUCCCUGGAGGUGUUCAAGAAACAUUUAUAUGUUGUACCAAGGGAUAUGGUUUAGUGGGAAAUAUUGGUGGUAGGUGGACGGUUGGACUGGAUGAUCUUGAAGAUCUUUUCAAUCCUUCAUGGUUCUGUGAUUCAUCUGAGACAAUAAAUUUGAUUUUGGAAAACUAUUUAAACUAAACCAAAGGAAGUGAACUAAUCUCAUGGAUUGAAGUCCUGUACUUUUGGAAUAGUAGUUUUUAUACCAAGACAGGCUGAUAACCUGAUACAGGCUGAUAGUUUACUCAGAGCAGUGCUCUGUACCUUGUUCUAUAGCAAGCUUUUUUACAAAAUAUGUGACCCUGAAUAGAAUAAUACAGAACUUGCAAAGUCUGAAUCAGCCUUUGAAAAAGACAGGUGUGUUCCUUGAAGCUUGUGACUGAAAUACACUUCAGUCACUCUAGCUUUCAUAGUGGAAAGAAAUGCUCUCAGUGGGAAUAAGUGUGAUUUGGAUCUCAUCCUUAGUAUUUCCUCCCCACUCUAUAGGUAUGGAGCCAUCAAAAUACUAAUGAGGCUUUUUAUUUUAUUUUAUUUUAUUUUUCUAGAAUAUUGGUCUUUCCCCAUCCUUUGAACUGCAGAACAUUCUCCAAAUUCUGUUACAACAAACAUCAUAACCCGCUACUAAUUGGCACAGCUUUAGACUUUUAUUUGCUCUGAUCUGCCUAAUGCCUGUAUGUUGUUUUGUUUUUAAUAUAUUUUUGUGCAAGUGCCUACUGCGAUGGCUAUAGAUGGUUGCAGUGUUGUAUUUUAUGAAGUGGGCAUUUGUCAUCUGAAACUUUAACCCAGCUAUCAUGUCUGGGCUGUUUUUGAACCAGUGAUGUCAGGCAGUUAGGCAGGACCCUUGAGUUUCAAAAGAAUCCCUCUUUGCUUUCAACCAUUAUUCAGUUCUGUAAGUAACAAGAUUGUUUUGUGGGACUGCUUAGAGAAAAAUUAAGCUUCUUCCAGCGCAGGAGUUCACUGUAAUGAAGGAGACUCAGCAUGCACAAAAGCUGAUGUUGAGGACAAAAACAGAAAUGGCUGUAAAUUGUUUUGAAAAAUAUCUGCUUCAAACAGAACAAGAUAAUGAGAAUUGGACUUUCCUCAGCUUUCUAAGCUUACGGGUAGGAAGAGUUAAUGCAUUAUUUCCUAAACAAGUUUUCUGAGGUCAGAUGUUUCAACCCUUAGUUUUGUGUAUCAGUAAUAAAACCACUUUGCACCUACCUGUGUUUGUGUCAGAGUUACAUCUGUUAUGCAGAUGUCACAGAUACUUCUCAUCAUGUUGUUUUCUUUUAAUCAAGUGUGGGUUUGUAUUGACUGUAGUAAGCAGCAAAAAGAAUGCUACUGGCAGUUUUGUUGGACAUCAGAUAUUAUGGGUCGUCUCUGAGUUCAUUUCCAAUGCACCUUAUCUUCCUACUGUGGCAAAUCUUUCUUACCUCAUUAUUCAUAAACCAGCCUUACGGUUAUUUCACUCCUAAGGUCUCCUUUGUAAAAUAAAGGGUGUUCUGUUUUUUGUUAAUAGAUUUUUUAUUUUCUUAAGAAUUCAAUUUCUGUAGAAUUUAAGUGCAUGAAGAGGAAUUUAUAGUUUUCUUCUAAAUACCAGAUAAAACUGUUAUUCAAAACCUUUAAGAGAAACUGUAAAAGCACAACAAGAUGACACAAGAGAUGGACCAAAAUGUAAUUUUGGCUUGAUUAAAUCUAUAAAAAAAUCCAUUCAUGAUUUCUAAAGAUGUAUUUUUGCCUAAUGAUGUUAAGUCUACUUUCAUUCAGCAUGAGUGAAAGUGAUGCGAUUUAUAGUAUGUACUUAUUGAAAGCUGUCUAUAGUGAAAGUACUUUACAUCUGAAGUGCGGAGCUUAAAAACAGACAAACAAAAAUGAGUGCAGCCACUGUAUACAGGUAAAGUUUACUUUAUAUAAGUGAGUAUGUCUGUCAUGGCAUACUUUUUCUAAAAAGCAUGAAUUUCAGCGUAAUUUGUUUCCAGCUUUUCAACUUGAAGGAGAUGGGAUGGAUUGUGUCAGAUCCAUCUCUUUUUGUAUUCCCUACUAUUUCAUUUCCAUCAGAUCAGCUGGGUAAACCACUCUCUAACAAUUUUUGAAAAGUUGGAAUAACUUUUGGCAUUGACGUGCUGUUUCCAAAAUCUUUUCUUUAGCCCGUAGAUUCUUCAGUGAAACUCUGACUAAAUACUACUCAGUAGUAGAACUAAUUGAAUUUCAGGGGAUUCUGAAAGCACUGCUGUCUGAAAGCCUAAAUAUUUAAUGCAGUGGAAGAACUGUCUGCUCAGAAUUGUGGCGAUUUCUGAAGUUAUCAGUUCCCAUUCUUUAAAAGCAAAUAUUUUUAAGUUUUCUAAUCUAUCAUUUUUUCUCUAAAAUCAGCAUGACUACCCCAUAUAUGAUCUUUAUUACUUGCUGCUAGGCUGAAAAUAUUUUUUAUUCCUGUUGAUUGAAGUGUAUUUAAUUAUUUAAUUCAAGAGACACAGCCGAGCAGCUUUGAUGCAAUCCAGUCCAAAUUUAAGAUAAACCGAUGAUUGGAGAUUGUAUGGAUUUUCUUUUUGUAUUAUCUUCUGUGGUUGUCAUUCAAAAUGACAGUACCAGUGCAAUUUUCACUGUGUAAUGUCCACAGUAGGACUAAGGGCGGUAUCCAUUGCACAUUGCUUGCAGUGUGAAAUGGAAUUAAAAAUUGUGGGAAUAGAUAUUCCAUUGCUG
RNAcentral lists this long non-coding RNA (7153 nucleotides) under Gallus gallus (chicken). The record is from RNAcentral. Lineage: Eukaryota; Metazoa; Chordata; Aves; Galliformes; Phasianidae.